RNAcentral lists this ribosomal RNA (284 nucleotides) under uncultured bacterium. RNAcentral's name for it is "partial 16S ribosomal RNA". It matches the Rfam family "Bacterial small subunit ribosomal RNA", at positions 69 to 354 of the family's 1533-position model. The record is from RNAcentral.
CGUUUCUUCCGCCCGGCCGGACCGGCCGGCACGGUGGAGGUAACACGUAUGCAACCUGCCCCUGUCAGGGGGACAACCCGCCGAAAGGCGGGCUAAACCCGCGUACAUGCCACCGGGGCAUCCCGGAGGCAGGAAAGGCUUCGGCCGGACAGGGAUGGGCAUGCGGCGCAUUAGGCAGUAGGCGGGGUAACGGCCCACCUAACCGACGAUGCGUAGGGGUUCUGAGAGGAAGGUCCCCCACACUGGUACUGAGACACGGACCAGACUCCUACGGGAGGCAGCAG